GGGUAACCUGCCUGUAAGACCGGGAUAACUCCGGGAAACCGGUGCUAAUACCGGAUAGAUUAUCUUUCCGCCUGGAGAGAUAAGGAAAGAUGGCUUUUGCCAUCACUUACAGAUGGGCCCGCGGCGCAUUAGCUAGUUGGUGAGGUAACGGCUCACCAAGGCGACGAUGCGUAGCCGACCUGAGAGGGUGAUCGGCCACACUGGGACUGAGACACGGCCCAGACUCCUACGGGAGGCAGCAGUAGGGAAUCUUCCGCAAUGGACGAAAGUCUGACGGAGCAACGCCGCGUGAGCGAAGAAGGUCUUCGGAUCGUAAAGCUCUGUUGUUAGGGAAGAACAAGUAUCGGAGGAAAUGCCAGUACCUUGACGGUACCUGACGAGAAAGCCACGGCUAACUACGUGC
Molecule: ribosomal RNA, 403 nt
Filed under: uncultured Bacillus sp.
Lineage: Bacteria; Bacillati; Bacillota; Bacilli; Caryophanales; Bacillaceae
Description: bacterial SSU rRNA
Rfam family: Bacterial small subunit ribosomal RNA
Source: RNAcentral